AAUUCGAUGAUACGCGAGGAACCUUACCUGGGCUCAAAUGUAUGUUGACGUAUUCUGAAAGGGAUACUUCUUCGGACAAUAUACAAGGUGCUGCAUGGUUGUCGUCAGCUCGUGCCGUGAGGUGUCGGGUUAAGUCCCAUAACGAGCGCAACCCCUAUCAUUAGUUGCCAUCAGGUCAAGCUGGGGACUCUAAUGAAACUGCCUACGCAAGUAGUGAGGAAGGUGGGGAUGACGUCAAAUCAUCAUGCCCCUUAUGAUCUGGGCUACACACGUGCUACAAUGGCCGGUACAACGGGCAGCGAAGGAGCGAUCCGGAGCGAAUCCUAAAAAGCCGGUCCCAGUUCGGAUUGCAGGCUGAAACUCGCCUACAUGAAGUUGGAGUUGCUAGUAAUCGCGAAUCAGAAUGUCGCGGUGAAUGCGUUCCCGGGUCUU
RNAcentral lists this ribosomal RNA (432 nucleotides) under uncultured Sphingobacteriales bacterium. Its description in RNAcentral is "bacterial SSU rRNA". It matches the Rfam family "Bacterial small subunit ribosomal RNA", at positions 948 to 1382 of the family's 1533-position model. The record is from RNAcentral. Lineage: Bacteria; Pseudomonadati; Bacteroidota; Sphingobacteriia; Sphingobacteriales.